AGGGAAAGAAUAAAACGUUGGUCUAAGCGCACUAUCAGUCAGCCUUAAUCAGCUUACAAGUGGAUAUUUUCCAUAUAUAUAAUAAGACUAUAUUGUCAGUUAGAUCAAGAAAAAGCCGAAAACAUCAUGAGAUUAUCUUGUCAGGUUCCUAAACUUCAGCAUAGAAGACAGAUGGCAUUUUGAUACAUCAGUAUAUAACACUUUCUUAUAAGUUUUUUUAUAUGAAAAAUGUAUAACUGUGUACACAUUA
Molecule: long non-coding RNA, 250 nt
Organism: Vespa crabro (European hornet)
Lineage: Eukaryota; Metazoa; Arthropoda; Insecta; Hymenoptera; Vespidae
Exons: 2
Source: RefSeq, a predicted model, not a curated record